RNAcentral lists this long non-coding RNA (2809 nucleotides) under Theobroma cacao (cacao). Its description in RNAcentral is "long non-coding RNA (TCAC_LNC002605)". The record is from RNAcentral. Lineage: Eukaryota; Viridiplantae; Streptophyta; Magnoliopsida; Malvales; Malvaceae.
UUAUUACAUGAAGAUUAAUAUUAUUAGUCAUUUAAAAGCAAUAAAAAGGUUCAAAGGGUUACAUAUAAAUAAAUGAAUCCAAAAUAGCCAUUUACAAGGGGUUACAUAAAAAAGCCCAAGUUAUAUUGUAAUACCCAACAUCCCACAUCUGAUGUGAAUGUGAUUGUUAAGACCUAUAUAACAAUCCAAGCCUACUACUACUACUAGCAACUUGAGCUUAAGCUUUUGAGGGUCAUGUGGUUUAGGCCCAAAGAGUUGCUGGACCGGUGGUUGGACUUGAGUCGUUACAAAUGGUAUCAAAGCCUGCUCCAGUCCGAUGUGAGCUUUCACAUUGCUCUGGUGAGAUCUUGGUCCUAUGGAUGUGAUAUGUGGCCUUGAUGAGGACAUCAAGGAUUUGAGUGGGUGAGAUUGUAAUACCUAAUAUCUCACAUCUGAUGUGAAUGUGAUUGUUAAGACCUAUAUAACAAUCCAAACUCACUACCACUAGCAACUUGAGCUUAAGCUUUUGAGGGUCACGUGGUUUAGACCCAAAGAGUUGCUGAACCAGUGGUUGGACUUGGGUUGUUACAAACAUUCUUCACCCUGAAUGUCAAUCGAAACCUCGCAAGGCUCUCGUUUCAGCUUUCGCACUUCUCCGAUGAGCAAUAGUUAUCAAAUAUCGUAAUUCGAAGGAUUACGAGUCAUUUCCAAAUCAGAACAUAACAUAUUGUUUUCUGGCUCACAGAGGCAUUUUCGUCAAUUUUCGUUGAAAAUCUCAAAACUUGCUAAAAAUGUAGUAAGUAAGCAAAAAAUAUAUAUUUAGUGAUUUAAAAACAAAUUAAGUAUCUAAAACUUUCAUUUGAAGUGAAAAUUUGACCAUUUGAAUAUAAUAAAAAUUUCAAUAAAAUAAACUAUUUUCUUGUAGAAUAAUUUUUUUCUAAAGCUAUUAAUAAAUAAUUCUUAUAGCGUAAAAGUUAAUUAUAUUCAUAUAUACUAUAAAGCAAAUAACCAAAGCAUAAAAUUACUUUUACAGUGACACGUGGGCCCACAUCUAACCAAAAUGCAUCGGAAGCUGAAAACCUACAGCUUUUGCCGAUUCAAGUCCAAAUGAAGGUCCUUGUCAAAGUCAGCUAACUAUAGAAUUCUCCGAGCCUGAAAUGUGAGGAAAUGAGGGUGGUGAGAUUAUAAAAUCUCAGUGAGUAAACAGACACCAUCUAAAUUAUCUAAAAACGAGUAAAUGGAGACGAAUUAAAAUAAGUCAUCAUAUUGUAAUUUCAUUACCUUUCAACUCAUUUCAACCAAAUAAACAACUAGGCUUAUGAUUUCUCGAAAAGCUUGGCUCGUGCAAAAAAAAAUUAUUCUCAUACUCAGUUAUUAGGGAUACCUUGAUCGAGGGUUAUCCCAACCGAGUCCGUCAGGGCUGUUAAAUGUCUUUACAUCUGAAAUUUUAGCCAUGUCUUGGCGUUGGCUGAGUCUCACUCUCACGCGGUGGUCCAUGUGAAGUGCACUCAAAUCUUUAUCUCAGGAGAUACUUCAUCCAACAUCUCCCCCCGGAGGUAAAUAUAUAAUAGGGUUAUCGUGCCUCUCUCAUAAGCAGUCCACGGAAACCCCCACCACUGUAGUGACUAUGGAUUAUUUUAUCUACCACCUGAUUUAUAAAAUCUUUUUUUGCAUGACAUAGCAAUUUAUCGCAUCUUAGCCUCUCAAGGCUGAAUACAUAGUACAAAUAAUUCUAACACCAAAAUCAAUUUAGCCAUUCAUGCUCAUUUAUUGUCAUAAGCCGUUCAAUUUAAAACCAUAAAUUUAUAAUACAAGCAGGUAGUCUCCAAUUACUCUAUUUUCAAAAUCAGUAUUCAAUUUUUCAGAAAAUUUAUAAAAUCACAAUUUCUCCUAAAACAUAGCAAUUUACCAUUUUAACCCAUUUUCUAUAAAAUUACACAAUUGUAUAAAACAACUCUGGAUAAUUAAGAUGAUAAUAAGUUUACUCACAGUUCUAGGAGUCGAUGUACUCCUAAUCUCAGUCUCCAAGCACAAUCUUUGUACUUUUACUAGUGUAAUUUACUCACCACCUAUCCACAGUGUACAAUACAUAAUUCACCACAUUAAUUCUUGACCAUUAUAAAAUCAAUUCAGGCUCGGUGUAUAUGCAUGAUAUGUUAUGCAACUUAUUCGAUUACCGCCUAAAUGCAAUGCUAGCCUAAUUCGGCCUAUUACCCGAAUAAAUGACAAUUAUAUCCGAUUUGACUACAAAUUGCUCCAUUUCAUUUCUAAUAUUUCAAUUCACUAAAUACAAUUCCAAUAAUCUAAAAUUCAGCCUAACAACCCUCACAAUUCUUUUUGAAAAUUUCUGCCAUUGUGGUGCACUAUCACUAAAAAUUUUUUCAUUCCAUUUUCUCACCAUAAAUCAUCAUUUCAUCAAUUUUUCAACCAAUUCACUUGAUCACAAAAUCAAUUCAUUACUUCUACACUUCACAUAGGGUUCGACCAUUGAAGGUUCAUGGAAAAAAUGGAUUCUUUUCUUGUUAUUUUGUUUCUAAACAUGCUUAACUAGCUAAAAAUACUAACAUAAUUUAGAAUCAAAUCAAUCUAACAUCAUUCUCUCUCCAUACCCAUUCCAACCAACCAUGAAUUCAUCAUAAAAAUAUGUAAUUUAAUCAUGAAAAAUGAGGGAAAAUGCAUGGGUAAGGUAAAUUACUAGCAAAAUCAAAGAAAUUUUACCUUUACUUGAUCAAAUUCUUGAAUUUCAACACUUUCUCUUUGAUUUUUCCCACUUAGGGUUUGUUCUUCCUUGGUUUCUCUUCUCUUCUGGUUUGGCUGACCACUAUGGGAG